GAGUCAGUCACCCUUUGGCCGGACAGGCGGUUCCCGGGCGCGGAGGAUGGAAACCUGGCGGUAACCUCUGCAGGUCGUGCCACUCGGUGUGCGCAAGGUCUCCAGAGGCAUCUUUUCAUUUUUAGGGGGCACUUUCCACGAAUUCAUUUGAGCUACACAGCAGUCCUGGGCAGUGGGGAGUGGUGAGCUCCAUUGUGUACACUUGGAAGCAGCCCAGAAAGCUUCUAGCACGGUGCUUUGUGCACAGUAAACACUCCAGCGGCUGUUGACCAAUGAAUGAAUGAAGAUUGUAGGCUCAAAUAUUCAAGUUAUCAAAGUGCAAAGAAUGAGAGGUUGUUUGCACUGGACUUCAAAAAUAAAUAGCCUGGACCUGUACUGUCUUACACAACAGCUAUGAGCUACUGGUAUGUGGCUAGUCCAAACUGAAAUGCCCUUUAAGA
RNAcentral lists this long non-coding RNA (440 nucleotides) under Homo sapiens (human). RNAcentral's name for it is "non-protein coding lnc-LEXM-2:7". Lineage: Eukaryota; Metazoa; Chordata; Mammalia; Primates; Hominidae. The record is from RNAcentral.